This 330-nucleotide ribosomal RNA is filed under the name uncultured bacterium. RNAcentral's name for it is "bacterial SSU rRNA". It matches the Rfam family "Bacterial small subunit ribosomal RNA", at positions 568 to 898 of the family's 1533-position model. The record is from RNAcentral.
UGUGUAGGCGGUUCUUUAAGUUUGGUGUGAAAUCUCCCGGCUCAACCGGGAGGGUGCGCCGAAUACUGAGGGACUAGAGUGUGGGAGAAGAAAGUGGAAUUCCUGGUGUAGCGGUGAAAUGCGUAGAUAUCAGGAGGAACACCGGUGGUGUAGACGGCUUUCUGGACCAUAACUGACGCUGAGGCACGAAAGCGUGGGUAGCAAACAGGAUUAGAUACCCUGGUAGUCCACGCCCUAAACGAUGCAUAUUUGGUGUGGGUCAUUCAGUUGAUCCGUGCCGGAGCUAACGCGUUAAAUAUGCCGCCUAGGGAGUACAGUCGCAAGGCUGAA